This 159-nucleotide ribosomal RNA is filed under the name Fusarium pseudograminearum CS3096. RNAcentral describes it as "eukaryotic large subunit ribosomal RNA". It matches the Rfam family "Bacterial large subunit ribosomal RNA", at positions 2476 to 2632 of the family's 2925-position model. Lineage: Eukaryota; Fungi; Ascomycota; Sordariomycetes; Hypocreales; Nectriaceae. The record is from RNAcentral.
AACAGGCUAAUUUGCGCAAGAGUGUACAAAAUGAGUGCGCGGUUUGGCACCUCGAUGUCGGCUUAACUUAUCCUCAUGGAUGCAGGAACUAUGUAGGGUGCGACUGUUCGUCGAUUAAAAAGUUACAUGAGCUGGGUUAAAUACGUCGUGAGACAGUAU